RNAcentral lists this ribosomal RNA (587 nucleotides) under uncultured marine bacterium. Its description in RNAcentral is "bacterial SSU rRNA". It matches the Rfam family "Bacterial small subunit ribosomal RNA", at positions 56 to 688 of the family's 1533-position model. The record is from RNAcentral.
UGCAAGUCGAACGAAGUAGCAAUACUUAGUGGCAGACGGGUGAGUAACAUGUGGGUAUCUUCCCUAUGGUGAGGAAUAACACGAGGAAACUUGUGCUAAUACCUCAUAAGUCUUUACGGAGAAAGCUUUAUGCGCCAUAGGAUGAGCCUGCACUUGAUUAGUUAGUUGGUAGGGUAAUGGCCUACCAAGACUGUGAUCAAUAGCUGAUUUGAGAGGAUGAUCAGCCACAUUGGGACUGAGACACGGCCCAAACUCCUACGGGAGGCAGCAGUAAGGAAUCUUGCACAAUGGAGGAAACUCUGAUGCAGCGAUGCCGCGUGAGUGAAGAAGGCCCUUGGGUUGUAAAGCUCUUUCGUCGGGGAAGAAAAUGACUGUACCCGAAUAAGAAGGUCCGGCUAACUUCGUGCCAGCAGCCGCGGUAAUACGAAGGGACCUAGCGUAGUUCGGAAUUACUGGGCUUAAAGAGUUCGUAGGUGGUUAAAAAAGUUGGUGGUGAAAUCCCAGAGCUUAACUCUGGAACUGCCAUCAAAACUUUUUAGCUAGAGUAUGAUAGAGGAAAGCAGAAUUUCUAGUGCAGAGGUGAAAUU